RNAcentral lists this long non-coding RNA (744 nucleotides) under Panax ginseng (ginseng). RNAcentral's name for it is "long non-coding RNA (PGIN_LNC001033)". The record is from RNAcentral. Lineage: Eukaryota; Viridiplantae; Streptophyta; Magnoliopsida; Apiales; Araliaceae.
ACAUGUACAUUGGGGGUCUUAUUACAAGUUCAGUAAAAAAAGAGACGAAAAGAAAUACAAUUGAUGAUUAUUCAUCUUCAUCGUCUGAGGAGUCGAGUAUGCUCGGGUUGAGUCCAGCCACCUUUAAUUUUUCUUUAUCCUUCCCUUUUGCGCUUUAAUGGCCAUCACCAAAUUGCUACAUUACCUCCUAGAUUAGUUUGGGUGAUUUUCGAUAUUCUGUGAUCAGCUGCAGCUUGGCGACCUCGGUCAUGGGAGGACCUUGGGCCUUGAGCUCUGAAUAAUCCUUCUAUAAUUACUUCUUAAUUCUCACCAACUCCAUUAUUUGAUAGUGCAUGGUCCCAAAUUGUUUCUUGAGGCUGGUUGCUGCCUUCUCCAAUCUCUCGUUUUUGUCCUUCAAUUUGUUGUACAUUAUUAGAAGAUGUUUCUUCUUGUCGGAUGUCUCAGAGAACUACCACUUUACUUUCUUUAGAUCGUUUGUUAGCUCUUGGUAGUAAAAAUUGGUGUUUAAAUUCAGGCUUCUCUCUUUCUUGAGACCGGACAUCAGGGCUUCAACUUUGAGUGGGAGAUAAAUGACUUCAGCCUCCAACUCUUUUUCUCUGAUCGUUAUUUUGGAGAGCUGGCACAAGGCUUGGGCCAGGAAAGCAUUGGACUGCAAUAUGAAACAUGUAGCUUAAAGUCAAAAAAAGGAGGAAAAUUUUGAAAGAAGAGUUAAGUAGGAGUACUUACCUGACCCUGAUGUAUUAC